RNAcentral lists this transfer RNA (72 nucleotides) under Candidatus Micrarchaeota archaeon CG08_land_8_20_14_0_20_49_17. RNAcentral's name for it is "tRNA-Ala". It matches the Rfam family "tRNA". Rfam says of the family: Transfer RNA (tRNA) molecules are approximately 80 nucleotides in length. Their secondary structure includes four short double-helical elements and three loops (D, anti-codon, and T loops). RNAcentral also lists the same sequence under 1 other name. Lineage: Archaea; Nanobdellati; Microcaldota. The record is from RNAcentral.
GGGCUCAUAGCUCAGCGGUAGAGCGCUCGCAUGGCAUGCGAGAGGCUGGGGGUUCGAAUCCCCCUGAGUCCA